UUGUCUAUGUUUCUUGGAACAGGACGUCACAGAGGGUGAGAAUCCCGUGCGAUAAGAUGCCCAAUUCCAUGUAAAGUUCCUUCGACGAGUCGAGUUGUUUGGGAAUGCAGCUCUAAGUGGGUGGUAAAUUCCAUCUAAAGCUAAAUAUUGGCGAGAGACCGAUAGCGAACAAGUACUGUGAAGGAAAGAUGAAAAGAACUUUGAAAAGAGAGUGAAAAAGUACGUGAAAUUGUUGAAAGGGAAGGGCUUGAGGUCAGACUUGGUUUACCAGGCCAGCAUCAGUUUGGAUGGCAGGAUAAUAGCUAAGAAAUGUGGCUCCACUUCGGUGGUGUGUUAUAGUCUUGGUUGAUACUGCCUGUCUAGACUGAGGACUGCGUCUUUGACUAGGAUGCUGGCAUAAUGACCUUAAGCCGC
This 414-nucleotide ribosomal RNA is filed under the name Yamadazyma insectorum. RNAcentral describes it as "[Candida] insectorum partial 28S ribosomal RNA". It matches the Rfam family "Eukaryotic large subunit ribosomal RNA", at positions 177 to 648 of the family's 3401-position model. The record is from RNAcentral. Lineage: Eukaryota; Fungi; Ascomycota; Pichiomycetes; Serinales; Debaryomycetaceae.